AGAGCUCGAUAGGCGGUUUGUCGCGUCGUCUGUGAAAUUCUGCAGCUUAACUGCAGGCGUGCAGGCGAUACGGGCAGACUUGAGUACUACAGGGGAGACUGGAAUUCCUGGUGUAGCGGUGAAAUGCGCAGAUAUCAGGAGGAACACCGGUGGCGAAGGCGGGUCUCUGGGUAGAACUGACGCUGAGGAGCGAAAGCGUGG
This 201-nucleotide ribosomal RNA is filed under the name actinobacterium NW-Sp2AK. RNAcentral's name for it is "partial 16S ribosomal RNA". It matches the Rfam family "Bacterial small subunit ribosomal RNA", at positions 564 to 764 of the family's 1533-position model. The record is from RNAcentral. Lineage: Bacteria; Bacillati; Actinomycetota; Actinomycetes.